Long non-coding RNA from Capsicum annuum, 717 nucleotides. RefSeq lists it as uncharacterized. The transcript has 2 exons. The record is from RefSeq and is a predicted model, not a curated record. Lineage: Eukaryota; Viridiplantae; Streptophyta; Magnoliopsida; Solanales; Solanaceae.
CCCUCAACACCUGAAGAGUGUUGUUGCCUUGGACAAACUCUGAGCUUCAAUUUCUAUUGCUCAACACUUUUUGUUUUGACCAUCUUGUUAUUGCUAUGUCAACUUUCACGAGUAUUUUUUCAUUCUUUCCCAUUUGUGUCCUUUAUGCUCCCUUGUUCACUUUCUCUUUUCCUUUCCAACUGCGUUUUCUAGUGGAUAGUGCAAGCUCAAAGUAUCAUUUCAAGGGAUCUUGUCUACUGUUGCCUUGUCUAUUCAAAUGGUACAACUGGAAUGAAGUGCAUGGGCAGCUUUAAUCCACCACCCCAUAAAAUUUAAGACAAAGCACUAGGUUCUACAUGUUCGAUCUAAUCAAGGACCCUCUUAUUUUGUUGGGUCCUUCUUGUUGGCUGAAGUACAUAGGCUAGUUAGUAUUUCAGUUAUUUGAUUCCCUUGAGGCGGUUUGUAUAUAAUCUAGUGAAGAACAAACUGCUUAGAAGAACAAACUGCUUAGCCUUCCCAGCCCCAUCACCCUUUGAUUGGUGAUACUCUUAAAAAUGGACAUUGUAGUUUAUCAAUAUUCAUCAACCUUCUACGUUCUGAUUCCAUGCUGCUAAAGUCUAUAAUUUUCUUUGUCUAUUGCUGUAUUAGUUAGGUAGUCUGUCAAUUUAUUUCCUUCUCUCAGUAUGUGUUGGAACUUAUGUUGUUUAUUUUCUAAGAGUUGAUGAAUUUAUUAUACUA